RNAcentral lists this transfer RNA (60 nucleotides) under Pseudomonas aeruginosa. Its description in RNAcentral is "tRNA-Thr". It matches the Rfam family "tRNA", at positions 1 to 58 of the family's 71-position model. Rfam says of the family: Transfer RNA (tRNA) molecules are approximately 80 nucleotides in length. The record is from RNAcentral. Lineage: Bacteria; Pseudomonadati; Pseudomonadota; Gammaproteobacteria; Pseudomonadales; Pseudomonadaceae.
GCCGGAUUAGCUCAGUCGGUAGAGCAGCUCAUUCGUAAUGAGAAGGUCGGGGGUUCGAUU